RNAcentral lists this long non-coding RNA (8920 nucleotides) under Setaria viridis. Its description in RNAcentral is "long non-coding RNA (SVIR_LNC011216)". The record is from RNAcentral. Lineage: Eukaryota; Viridiplantae; Streptophyta; Magnoliopsida; Poales; Poaceae.
CCUUGGUGAUGAGCGAUUGACAACACGGUGUGCGUGUGACGUGUCUCUUGGCAGGUGUGGUUGCAGGUGACAGGUGGAGACGAGGUACAUGCGGCGACGAGUGAAGAACGGGGAUAGGAUGCCAUGCCGACGAACCGUGGGACGGUGAAGGGUGGAUCAAGGCUCGCGUUCGAGGGACAGGCGAUCGUGCGGUGUACGUCUACUGUACCUGGCUACACGGCGAGAGGACGUCAAGGGAGGUUUUCGGAUUACACCACAAAAUCCGGGGUUCACUGGUUGAGCCAUAAAGCCAUGCAUCGUACCGGGACGCUCGUGCGGCGAGCGUUGGCCGAAGAUGGAAAUUCCGGCGAUCGCGAUACGAUUUCGUGCGGCGACAUCGCGAGGAUCACAUCACGGAGAUGGAGGAAUCGCGGACAUCGAGGAAUUUGUCAUGGAGGACGUAACUGGAAUUUACGCACCUACGUUAAAUUUAUUUAGCGUAGGGGGUUAUGUGUAAAUAGGCCGUGCCACCCUAAGGAUAUAAAUACGUGGCACCUAGGGUUGAGAGAGUUUGAGCCCUUUUGCUACAGGCGGCGCUACAGUACUCGGCGCUACAAUACUCGGCGCUACAGUAACUCGCGAUUACUGUUCAUCGCGGUUACUGUUCACGCGCGGUACUGUUCAUCGUCGCAGGUACUGUUCAUCUCUCUCUAGUCUAGCCUAGGGUUUCAAUCUAAGUGAGGGAUUUUUAUUGAUCUCUCCAAUUAAGAGAGGGAGGAUGUUUGGGCGGAGGCUAGAUGCACUUUUGUAAGCGCAUUACUUGUCUCAAUUUUUCAUAUUAGUGAAUUAAUCUAUGUGCUUGUGCGUCAUGUUGUGCUGAGGUUAAGAUUGAUUUGAUCCAUCUAAAAUCAUGCUAGGGCAUCUUAUUAGAGCUUAAUCUAUUCUCGUCAUUGUCUGAUACAGUCUGCUUGUUCCUUUAAUAUCUCAAGAUCCGAAAGUCCGAUUGACAUGAUUCCAGUUGGGUUAGUUGCAUAAUUUUGUAUGGAUUUUUCUGUCAAAUUUUUAGGUUGAUCGGUCUUACGGAUUUUCGUCCAUAUCUUUUUUAUUAAGGAAACAGUAUUCUGUCCAGAUUUGAAAAACGUGAUUUAAUUAGGUUUUGAGAGGAAGGGGAGGUGUUAAACUUUAUUUUUUGAACUUGCGCCCAUUCACCCCCCCUUCUGGUCGCCGUUUCGGUUCUUCAAUUGGUAUCAGAGCCGGUUAAGGUUUUCUAUAUCUUAAUCGGUUACGAAAACCAUGGCGACCUCCGGAAAAUUCGAUACACGCGCUCCGCAUUUUGAUGGUACUGAUUAUGACUAUUGGCAGUCACGUACGAAAGCUUAUUUGAAGGGGAAGGGGAUGAAUCUGUAGAGGAUCACACAAAACUCUACAUAUGUGAUUCCUGCAGAGGACCCUACUGAUCCUGCUGCUGUUGCUCUUCUUGAAGCAAAUAAUCGGGUUGUUGACAUUUUGCAAGCUUCUCUUUGUAAACCCGAGUAUGAUCGUAUUUCCAGUGAGGAGCUAGCUUUUCAGAUCUGGGAUAAAUUAAAGAAAUAUCAUGAAGGCUCCAACGCUGUGAAAACACGAAAAUUGAAAUUUAUAGAAAAGAAUUUGAUGCUUUUUCUCAGUUGCCUGGUGAAUCUAUUGAAGAUCUUUUUGCAAGGUUUCAAGUGAUUGUAAACAAAAUGAAAUCCCUUAAUAAGGAUAUGCCUUACAAUGAUCAUGCAAGGGCUCUCAGAUUGUUGCAUUCACUUACUGAUGAGUGGGAUAUGAAGGUAGAGGCAAUCGUUGAGUCCGCUGGCUAUGAGACUCUUACCACUGACGAGCUUUUCAGUAAGCUUAAGUCAAAAGAGAUUGAUGUCCUCUCCAAGCGCAAAUUGAAAAAUCCCACUAGCGCUUCUUCGAUGUUCCUAUGGCUUUGGUUUCUGGGAGUAAAACUAACGCUAACACUAAUCCAGUUCCUCCAAGCUUUGCCUUGUCUUUUUUGUGUCAUGUUGCAGAUGAUGAGUUGGAGACGCUAGAUGAUGAUCAGUUGGUGCUGCUCUCCAACAAAUUCAAGCUAGUCUAUGAGAACCGACGCAACAGAAGAUGCUCAGAAGGAUGUUUCAGCUGUGGUGAGCGAGGCCACUUUGCAGCUGAUUGCCCGAACAAGAGAACAUUUGAUCAGGGCAACAACUCCAGGCGCCAGGAACAACCAAGGGAGAAGAAUAAGAAGGGUGACAGGCGCAUGAAGAAGAAUGGCCAGAAGUACACUGAUAAGAAAAUUAAAAGGGCUGCACAUGUUUUGUUUUCUUCUCUUGGUGAUUUUGUUUCAGAUGCUUCUUCGAACUCAAGUGAUUCAGACUCCGAGAAUGAGCUGCCCAAAAAGAAAACUGACGGACUCUGCUUCCUCGCCGACAUCAAGGGAGGGAUGUGCACCAUGGCCUUAGAAGAUGAUGAAGCUUCUAAUAUCAGCGACAACUCUUCUGACAAUGAGGUACAAAAUUCAGCAGAAGAAGAAAUUAAAGAAUUGACAAAAAUUAUUGAUAAACAAAACAAGAUUUUAGCAAAACUUAAGGCUGAGUAUGAUAGAGUCAUCUUUGAAUUAAAAGACUUAAAAGAUGCUACUCCUGCUGAAGUAGAAUGUGAAGAGUGCUCUGUGCAUAUGGUUUCACUUUCUGAAUUGCAAUCUAAGCAUGCCUUCAUUGUUGACAAAUUUGAAAAAUGCUAAGAUUGAGUUAGAAAAACUUCACUCUGGUUCGGCUUCACUUGGCGCUUGUGCUUCUUGUCCAACCUUGAAAUCUGAAUUGAAUAAUGCUAAAUCUCGUGUUAUUGAGUUGGAGAAACACUCUUGUCCUGCUUUGCCUUCCUGUUUAACUUGCCCUACUUUUGUUGCUGAAAAUAAUGAUUUGAGGGUGAAGUUUUCUACUUUGGAAGAAGAAAAUAAACAUUUGAGAGUGAUUCUUGGUUGGUGCUCUAUUCGUGAACCUCAGAUUGGUAUGUCAAUUGCUCAAAUUAAACGGAGUGAGCGUUUUGGACCUGGAUAUGAUUUGAAACAUGUUUUUGGUGAAAAGAGUGGACCUCCUAUUUCUGAAAAGAAUCCACCUUUGGCUAAGUACACUGGACCACCUCCUAGGAAAGAGGGUCCAUGUGUCACAUCUGAGGGGUUGUUAGUUGAACCAUCCAGAUCUGUUCCAAAAAAGCAGGUUUGGGUGCCUAAACCUAAACACUUCAAUGUUGCACAGAACGCUAAGCCAUCUACUUCGCCAUGUGUUCACACUGCUAGACCUAAGCAUAACUUUGUUGCUUCUGGUUCUAAGGCUAAGGCUUCUUUUGCUCCUUCACAUAAGCAUUACCAUUGUGAUUUUUGUGAUCGUGAUGGUCAUCUCUAUGGGUUUUGCUUCCGUCGGAAGCGUGCUGAGAGACGCGAACAGUACUCUGCACGUGGUACUCAUGAUCGUCCUAUUUUGGGUCGUGAACCUGCUAGUUGGUCUUUUGGUUUUCGCCCACAUACUCGUGCUCCUGCCCCACGUCGGAAUGACAGGCCACGUUUUCCCCCUCGUGGUUCUCGUCAUUCUUUCGAGAGGUUUGAUUUUGCUAAUGCCUCUUUUGAGCAAGUGGCCCAACACUGGUUUUCUCUGCAUUAUCCUAACCCCAGUGUUGAGUCAUUAGCUCACUCUUGUGUUCGCCAUUGACUGCAGGAUGGAGGCGAGGAGAACAUAUGGAUAAUGGAUUCCGGUUGUUCGCGCCACAUGACCGGAGAUGACAAAUGGUUCUCCAGCCUCACCCCCGCGAGCGGUAAGGAAUAUAUUACAUUCGGGGAUAAUAGUAAAGGUAAGGUUUUGGCGCAUGGCUGCAUCAAGGUAACUGAUAAAUUCAUACUAAAGGAUGUCGCGAAAGUACAAAAUUUGCACUAUAAUCUGCUUUCUGUCUCACAACUUCUUGAAGAUGAUUUUGAAGUGCAUUUUAAGAAAGGCAAUUCGCGAGUUCUUGAUUCUACUGGCAACCUUGUUUGCAUGAUUUCUCCCUUUGGACGAGUUUUUAAGGUUGAUUUUUCUAAAUCUUUUGGACAGACUCGUUGUUUGGUUGCUCGUGGUUUCCCUGAUAUUUGGAAGUGGCAUCGUCGGUUGGGCCACUUGAGCUUUGAUUUGCUUUGUCGCUUGAGUUCGAUGGAUUUAAUUGAUGGUUUGCCAAAACUCAAGUUUGAAAAAGAUUUAAUUUGUGCUCCCUGCAAACAUGGAAAAAUGGUUGCUGCUUCCCAUGCACCUGUGACGCAGGUGAUGACGAGACGACCGGGUGAACUGUUACAUAUGGACAUUGUUGGUCCAGCCCGUGUUCGGUCUGCUGGUGGGAAGUGGUAUGUGCUCGUAGUUGUGGAUGAUUUUUCUCGAUACUCAUGGGUGUUCUUUCUGGAAUCUAAGGAUGACGCCUUUUCACAUGUUCAUGAUCUUGUUCUAAAGCUGAAAAAUGAGUUGUCAAAUAAUGCCGUUAGAGCAAUUCGCGGUGACAAUGGUACGGAAUUCAAGAACUCUCGUAUGAAAGCUUUUUGUGCAGAACAUGGUCUUGAUCAUCAAUUUUCUUCUCCUUAUGUUCCUCCUCAGAACGGUGUUGUUGAAAGGAAAAAUCGCACGCUUGUUGAAAUGGCUAGGACAAUGCUAGAUGAACAUAAAACCCCUAGACGUUUCUGGGCUGAGGCAAUCAACACCGCUUGCUAUGUUGCUAAUAGAAUUUUUCUGAGAGCUUUCCUGAAGAAAACAUCAUAUGAGUUGAGAUUUGGACGUCCUCCCAAAGUUUCCCACUUUCGAGUAUUUGGUUGCAAGUGCUUUAUUCUAAAAAAGGGAAACUUGGAUAAGUUUGAGUCUCGUUCUUCUGAUGGGUUAUUUCUGGGGUAUGCUUUGCAGGGGCGUGCUUACCGUGUGCUUAAUAUUGACACUAACCGCAUCGAGGAGACAUGUGAGGUCACCUUCGACAAGACAAUGCCUUGUUUUUCUUCUGCUUUUGAAUGUGCAGGUGAUGAUGAGAUCGGGCAGGAUAUUUUUGAGGAUGAGCAAGAGGAAGAUGGAUACAACAAUGACGACGACGAUGACGCCCCGCCUGUGAUGCAGGGGGAGCCUGGAGCGCAGCUCGAGCAGGCACCCUCCACCACUUUGGAGGAUGGACCAUUGCCUACACGUACAUCUAAGCAACGCCUGCAGCCUCACCGACUUUUGAUCAGGUACCGGCUGCAGUUGAAGGAGAGGCGAUUUCAGAACGUACAGCACCACGCCACAUUCAGAAUCGCCACCCUCCUGAAAAAAUGAUAGGUAACUUGAAUGAGCGAACGACACGGAACAGAGGUAUGAAAAACAAAAAUUAUUGUGUUUUUGCUCAUACUGCUUUUGUUGCCUCUUUUGAACCCCGAGAUGUUGGACAUGCUUUAUCUGAUUCUAACUGGGUCAAUGCCAUGCAUGAGGAGUUAGAAAAUUUUGAACGAAAUCAAGUUUGGGUUUUGGUUGAUCCUCCUCCUUCUUGUAAACCAAUUGGGACUAAAUGGGUUUUUAAGAACAAACAAGGAGAAGAUGGUCAUGUUGUCAGGAACAAAGCCAGAUUAGUGGCUCAGGGGUUUUGUCAAAAGGAGGGUAUUGAUUAUGGUGAAACUUUUGCUCCUGUUGCUCGUUUAGAAGCCAUUCGUAUCUUGCUUGCGUUGGCUGCUUCACAUGGUUACAAGCUUUAUCAAAUGGAUGUAAAAAGUGCUUUUCUGAAUGGUUUUAUAGAAGAAGAAGUUUAUGUCAAACAACCGCCUGGUUUUGAACACCCCAAUUUUCUUGAUCAUGUUUUUAAGUUGCAAAAGGCUUUAUAUGGUUUGAAGCAAGCACCUCGUGCUUGGUAUGCUAGAUUGAAAACUUUUCUACUUAAAAACGGAUUCAAAAUGGGUUCAGUUGAUGAAACUCUUUUUCUCCUCAGGCAAGGCAAUGACACUUUAAUAGUUCAGAUUUAUGUGGAUGAUAUCAUUUUCGGUGGUUCCUCUCAUGUUCUUGUGAAAAAGUUUGCAGAUGUGAUGAGCAAAGAAUUUGAGAUGUCUAUGAUGGGCGAGCUGAAGUUCUUUCUUGGCUUACAUAUUAAACAAACUUCGGAAGGAACAUUUGUACAUCAGGGAAAGUACACGAAGGAUGUCCUGCAGAAGUUUGCGAUGGAUGAUGCAAAGCCAAUUUCUACGCCCAUGCCGACUAGCGCGGCUUUGGAUGCUGAUGAGAACGGAGAGCCCGUGGAUCAGAAGGAUUAUCGAAGCAUGAUCGGGUCACUGCUGUACUUGACUGCAACAAGGCCGGAUAUACACUUUGCUGUGUGUAUGUGUGCUCGUUUUCAGGCGUCCCCCAGGAUUUCUCAUCGUCAGGCGGUGAAGCGCAUCAUGAGGUAUCUUCAAUUUACUCCUGAAUUUGGCCUUUGGUACUCUGCUGCUUCGACUCUCAAUUUGUGUGGUUAUUCGGAUGCUGAUUUUGCUGGAUGUCGUUUGGAUAGAAAGUCUACUUCGGGUACUUGCCAAUUUUUGGGUUCUUCGCUUGUUUCUUGGUCCUCUAGAAAACAAUCCAAUGUUGCUCAAUCUACUACAGAGGCCGAGUAUGUUGCUGCUGCUAGUUUUGUUCUCAGCUUUUAUGGAUGAUAGCUACCCUUCGCGAUUUUGGUUUGUCAUUUUCUCGCGUUCCUCUCUUGUGUGACAGCACUAGUGCUAUAAGUGUUGCAAAGAAUCCUGUGCUUCAUUCUAAGACGAAACAUAUUGAGGUUCGUCAUCAUUUUCUGAGGGAUCAUGUUGAGAAGGGUGAUAUUGAGCUAAAAUACAUUGAUACUAGUCAGCAACUUGCUGAUAUUCUAACUAAACCACUCGAUCAAACCACGUUUGCACGUUUGCGUGGUGAGUUCGGGGUGUGUUACCCAUUUUAGUAUCAUUAUGAGUUGCUUCGGUUACAUAUGCUUUAUACUUGUUUUGGCUAGUUUGCGACCGAUGCUUUUGGAGAGGUUUAAAUGCUUUGUUUGACCAGUUUUUUUUUGAAAACAACAUAUAUAUAUAUAUACUUCAAAAAUUAUGUUGGGCUCUACUUGCUUUUCUGGAUUUAGUGACUUGUUGAAUACUAGACAUAUAUCUUGCUCAUGGUUCGGUUGUCAGCUUCUUUUAAUGAUUUUUCACUGCAAAUGUAACUCACAAUGCAAGUUUUAACUCGGAAGUGCAUACCAUGGUUGUGAGCAAAAACUCUGAAUUCCCAUAUCUCUGCUAUCUCGCUCAUGAUCUGCUUACUUUACUGAGAAUUUACAUAUGGGCACAACUCUGAUUUUCCCAUGUCUCUGCUGGUUCUCGCUCAUAAGCAAAAUUAAACAACCUGGCUGAGCACAAUUCUUGCUUCCCAUAUCCCUGCUUGUCAUGCUCAUAAAAGCCAGAAUUAAAUAUGACAAGUGCAUUUGUGGGCGUUGAAGUGAACUUUGAUUGAAGCUGUGUAUCCGUCGUGUGAGCUUGAUAUAUGUUUCUGUCUUCAGCUUGGCACUAAUUUUGAAAUAUGCAUGCUUUUGCCUGGUUAAUUGGUUUUCAAAACGACUUUAAUUCUAACUUUCUAUUGGUCGUGGCAUUGUGUUGCUUCUCUGGAUGGCUAGUGUUGUUAGUUGGCUAUUAUAAGUAUUUGACAUAUGUCUCAGAAGCUUCUACUUGUGCUCUCUCACAUAGUUCUCGAAAUUGAUUCUUUGCAUUUUAAUCUUGAUGGAGUGCUUUGUCAACAAGGGGGAGAGUGAGUAGCACAAAUUCAUUUUUGCAAGAGGAGUUUGAUUUCGUUUUUUGCUGAGACUUGACGUGCUUGUUUUGAGGGGGAGCUUUGCUGCUGAGUUUUGCUGCUGAGAUUGCUUUUUGAAGAUUGAUAUGGUUUUUGAUUCACUUUGGGAGAGUGAUUUUUUAUCUUGAUUGUGUUGAGCCUAGUUUUUUCUCUAGCCCAUGUCUUUGGGGAUCAAGAUUGUUUCUUUUUCCUUCUUUCUAUUUUCUUUUUUAGCUCGAAUAAAUUUGUGCGGUGUGGUGUUGUCAAUGCACUCAUCAAGGGGGAGAUUGAGAUGCCGGUGGGCUAGUACCUUGGUGAUGAGCGAUUGACAACACGGUGUGCGUGUGACGUGUCUCUUGGCAGGUGUGGUUGCAGGUGACAGGUGGAGACGAGGUACAUGCGGCGACGAGUGAAGAACGGGGAUAGGAUGCCAUGCCGACGAACCGUGGGACGGUGAAGGGUGGAUCAAGGCUCGCGUUCGAGGGACAGGCGAUCGUGCGGUGUACGUCUACUGUACCUGGCUACACGGCGAGAGGACGUCAAGGGAGGUUUUCGGAUUACACCACAAAAUCCGGGGUUCACUGGUUGAGCCAUAAAGCCAUGCAUCGUACCGGGACGCUCGUGCGGCGAGCGUUGGCCGAAGAUGGAAAUUCCGGCGAUCGCGAUACGAUUUCGUGCGGCGACAUCGCGAGGAUCACAUCACGGAGAUGGAGGAAUCGCGGACAUCGCGGAAUUUGUCAUGGAGGACGUAACUGGAAUUUACGCACCUACGUUAAAUUUAUUUAGCGUAGGGGGUUAUGUGUAAAUAGGCCGUGCCACCCUAAGGAUAUAAAUACGUGGCACCUAGGGUUGAGAGAGUUUGAGCCCUUUUGCUACAGGCGGCGCUACAGUACUCGGCGCUACAAUACUCGGCGCUACAGUAACUCGCGAUUACUGUUCAUCGCGGUUACUGUUCACGCGCGGUACUGUUCAUCGUCGCAGGUACUGUUCAUCUCUCUAGUCUAGCCUAGGGUUUCAAUCUAAGUGAGGGAUUUUUAUUGAUCUCUCCAAUUAAGAGAGGGAGGAUGUUUGGGCGGAGGCUAGAUGCACUUUUGUAAGCGCAUUACUUGUCUCAAUUUUUCAUAUUAGUGAAUUAAUCUAUGUGCUUGUGCGUC